GAUGAAGAACGUAGUGAAAUGCGAUAAGUAAUGCGAAUUGCAGAAUUUCCGUGAGUUAUCGAAUCUUUGAACGCACAUUGCGCCCACUGGUAUUCCGGUGGGCAUGCCUGUUCGAGCGUCAUUAUCCUCCCUCAAACCCCGGGUUUGGUGUUGGACCCAAGUUGUGUGAACAACUGGUCUCAAAGACAAUGACGGCGUCCGUGGGACCCUCGGUGCAACGAGCUUUUAGGAGCACGCAUCGAGUUGCAAGGACCUUCCGGGCCGGUCUCCUUUACCAUUUUACAAGGUUGACCUCGGAUCAGGUAGGAAUACCCGCUGAACUUAAGCAUAUCAAUAAGCGGAGGA
RNAcentral lists this unclassified non-coding RNA (345 nucleotides) under soil metagenome. RNAcentral describes it as "partial contains 5.8S ribosomal RNA, internal transcribed spacer 2, and large subunit ribosomal RNA". The stretch from base 1 to 121 matches the Rfam family "5.8S ribosomal RNA", at positions 35 to 154 of the family's 154-position model. The record is from RNAcentral.